This is a long non-coding RNA of Ostrea edulis (European flat oyster), 2769 nucleotides long. RefSeq lists it as uncharacterized. The transcript is spliced from 2 exons. The record is from RefSeq and is a predicted model, not a curated record. Lineage: Eukaryota; Metazoa; Mollusca; Bivalvia; Ostreida; Ostreidae.
UAUACACAAUACCCUGAUCUCUUGGUCAAGUAAAUAACAAUGACCUUAGAUAAGCUCCGCCCAGAUCCAGUGAUCGGCGAAGAAACCAUACAGUAUAUUUUUUUUGUCUUUAUAGAUAACAUCAGGAAGGCUAGAACAACAGCGAUACCAGUACUAAACGGAAUAUCACACAAAGCCUACAAGGAUUACCCAAGGUUGAUGCCAUGGACAGUUAGCUAAUACAGUCUACUCCGGAUAUAAUGAACUUCAGGGGACUGACCUGAAUUUUUCAUUAUAUCCAAAGUUCAAUAUAACCAAUGCUGAACUACACAAAUAUUGCUACUGGGGGAUUUAUUUCAACUUCAAUAUAACAGAUAGUUCAAUAUAACCGACUUCAAUAUAAGUGGAGUGGGCUGUAGUUGGCAUCAAGCUGAGGGAUGCAAAAGAGGAGAUUUCGGAGAUACUCAAACAGUUUUGUACCACAUCAAAGUUUUACAUUGAAGGGAAGAUCUUUUUACCAAUUUUGGCAAAGAGGAUGACCACUUAUAUGUUGUUCAACAGGUACAUAGAUAUCGCUAUACACGAAGGAGAAGUGUCAGGUGUUUCAGGAUGAGUUCAACAUACAAAUGUUUGAACACAAAUUAUCGGAGAGGCGAAAGAGAUGAAAGGAGAACUGGCAGUCAUAUGGUUGGAUCUAGAUAAUGCUUAUGGUUCUAAACCUCAUACCACAGCGAUGUCAUGUACCAGGUUAAGAUCGAAAAGCUUCUAAGAAAUACUUCGACGGACUGUUGGUGAGAUUCCAUGCUCAGGACUUCACAACAUCAUGUGGAACAUCAGAAGGGUGGGAUCGUCACAGGCUGUGCAGUUUCAGUAGUCUUGUUUUCGGUGACCAUGAAGAUAUUGGUGACGUCGGUGGAUAAGAUGAGUAGAGGUCCGUGGAUGAGGGUAGGCUUGAGACAACCCAUGUUAGAGCAGUGGCAGACGACACGACAGUCGGUAUCAAUACCAUUAAAGAAGCAAGAUGGACAUUGGAGGAUAUUGAGAACAUCAUCAAAUGGAAUCGUAUGAAGAUUAAGUCAACAAAGUCUAGGAAUCUACAUCGUCAUAAUGGCCGACUUCCUUUUAAAACGUGAAUGAAAAUAUAAAUACCAGCAACAUUUGUCUAUUCAUUUCAAACAUUCCCUAGCUGAGUGGCUCAGUAGGUUAGCACGUCGAUAUCGUCGCAAACCACGUUUCUGAGUCCAAACACGCUCCCUCAAAUGGGGAUGUGAUGAUGGGGAGAAUCGACGAGAGGCAUCCGUGGGUAGCUGAUGAUGACACGUCGACUGCUGAACUGUAGAUCGCGGGUUCGAGUCCUGCAGGAGCUUUAAAAAAUCAGAUUGCUACCAAUUUCGGGAGAUCAAAUAUUGCGCCGUGGAAGUCAUCAUUUGAACGGAAAAUUUAGCAAUGGGUUUAUUUUAUGGAAUGUACAUACUCAGACGCUACAUCCAUUUGGUAACCACAGUGAGAGGGAUGAGUCAUGCUGUCAUCAUAUGAGGAACCAUACCAGGAAGUGCAGAUUUCUUCCCCAUGGCCACAUAGAAGUUGACUGUUAAAACUGGUUUCUGGAUAAUAACUCGAGUACUUUGUAUUCUAUUCAAACCAUUUGGACAUAUGGAUACUACAAAGAAGGGAAGUUGCCUAUCAAUUUGAGGGUCAGAAGGUCAAAGAUCAAGGUCACAAUGCAUGGAAAUUAGAAAAUGCUGAUAGGGGACAUAUGUUUUACACAUUCUUUAGUUAUAACUGAAUUAGUAUUGUAUAUAUGCAUAGAUUAUUUAUGUUUUCUGACUAUACUUACUUACUUAUCCUCUUCGUGCCUAUCAGCACAUAAGGCCUCAACCAGCUGACGCCACAACUGCCUGUCUUUUGCUUUCUUUUCUAUCCCCCCCCCCCCCCCCAGGUCUUCCCUAUAUCUUUCAUCUCCUGUUCUACCAUCCUUCGCCAUGUCUCUUUUGGGCGUCCUCUUUUUCCCUUUCCAUCAGGUGUCCAUCUCGGAGCAAUCAUAGUGAUAUCUUCUCCUCCUUUUCGUAGAAUAUGCCCAAUCCAACGCCACCUUCUUCUUUUAAUCUCCAUCUUCAUGCAGCACUGUUUGGUCUUAAGAUAUAGAUCUUUAUUCGAUAUUUUUUGGGGCCAGUAGAUUUUACAGAUUUUUCGGAGGCAGGUGUUAUGGAAUGAGGAGAGUUUUUUCAUGUCAGUUUGUAUUAUUCUCCAGCAUUCAGACCCAUAGAGUAACACAGAUUUCACGUUACUGUUGUAUAUUUUCAGUUUGGUGUUCAUACUGAUCGACCCACUUCUCCAUAUGGAUUGCAGUUGGCAAAAUGCGUUUUCUGACUAUAUAAUGAAAUACAUACAUGUAUAUAGAAUUUGUAAAUAUGAAUUGAAGAAUACACAUUUUAUAACAAGUCAUAUAUUGUUAUUGUUUAGAAUAUAUGCCAAUGUAAGUAGGGGGUGGGGACAGAAAAUGGUUCAAAUCUUUGUUCCAAAGUACACUACCCCACACAUUUUUUUUUAAAAUUUAACUUAAGCAAAAAUAUGAUUAAAAUCUACGUUAGUAAUUUCAGAAAAAGUUUGAUACAGAUAUUUUCCUUAGGUUGAAUUAUUUGAUGAAAUAGGUCUUCAAAUUUGUGUGAUAUUUUAUCCAAUUAUGUUAAUUAAUCUUUGAUUUUUUGUAAAAUUGGUGAUAUAUUUUAUGUAAAAGUUAUUGUAAUAAUCAAUGAUGCUUAAUUUUCAUAAAAUAAAGAAAUUCAAGAU